RNAcentral lists this unclassified non-coding RNA (323 nucleotides) under soil metagenome. Its description in RNAcentral is "partial contains 5.8S ribosomal RNA, internal transcribed spacer 2, and large subunit ribosomal RNA". The stretch from base 1 to 120 matches the Rfam family "5.8S ribosomal RNA", at positions 35 to 154 of the family's 154-position model. The record is from RNAcentral.
GAUGAAGAACGCAGCGAAAUGCGAUAAGUAAUGUGAAUUGCAGAAUUCAGUGAAUCAUCGAAUCUUUGAACGCACAUUGCGCCCCCUGGUAUUCCGGGGGGCAUGCCUGUCCGAGCGUCAUUACAACCCUCAAGCUCUGCUUGGUGUUGGGCCCUGCCCGCUGCGGCCGGCCCUAAAGACAGUGGCGGUGCCGCCUGGCCCUGAGCGUAGUACAUCUCUCGCUCCAGUGCCCGGUGGUAGCCUGCCAGAACCCCAACUCUCGUGGUUGACCUCGGAUCAGGUAGGGAUACCCGCUGAACUUAAGCAUAUCAAUAAGCGGAGGA